GCUUUGGUCAAAAAUACAUUUGGUAACAGCCAUAACUUGAUUAAUUUUGAUGAAGGAUGUCCAAUGGAAAUAAAAACAUCAAGGAAGAGAUGAAAUGAUAGAAGAAAAAGAAAACAGAACAGAACAACUAUAAAACCACUGAAGUUCAGCAGUGUCUGAAAAACACAGAUAAACAUUCCUGAUGCAAUAGCAGAAGAUCUGAGACAAUAUAAAAUGGACUACAAGAAUGUUUGGGAAGGAGAGAAGUUAAUGCUCCUUUUGAUCAUCAUCCUAAUUCAUCUCCUAAAAUGUGAUACUGCAACGAACCCUGCUACAGAAUGUUCUUACCUGGCUAGUUAUCUUGCUGAAAGCAUCUUGCAGUUUGCCAUGCACAACUGCCAACUUCUUGAAGUCACGGUUGGCUUCAUGGAUAGGAAUGAGGAUCUUGUAGGUUUCAUUGACAGCUUCAUAAAGUCCACCCUGGGAAGAAAUGAAGAAAGAAUUCAGAGGGCAUGGAACUUCCCAUCAGGACAGCUCUGACAACUAAGAAGCAAGUAGCAAGGUGGCUAAUAGGGGAAAUGAGGGACAACUGGUAUGUAGCAGCAGUCAGUGCUUCAACUAGCUGGAUAGGUAGCAGGUAUGCCAAAAAUAGUACGUUGAAGAAGACUGGAUAUGCUUCUCUUCUAAGGAAUGUACCAAGACUGAUAAAGGCUACUUGAGGAAUAAUUUGCUGUCCCAUGGAAGAAAACAUCUAAUUGUUACUAUUAUACAACUAUUUUCUGUCCUGAUGCUGGAAAUGUAUUGUGCAAAGUAUAAUUAACUGAAAUGUAAGAUUUUUUGUUAUUUUAAAAUUUAUUUUAAGGCAUGCUUUAGGAAUAAAAUGGAUGAUACCCUUA
Non-coding RNA from Pantherophis guttatus, 875 nucleotides. Lineage: Eukaryota; Metazoa; Chordata; Lepidosauria; Squamata; Colubridae. The record is from RefSeq and is a predicted model, not a curated record.